Molecule: ribosomal RNA, 253 nt
Filed under: uncultured bacterium
Lineage: Bacteria
Description: partial 16S ribosomal RNA
Rfam family: Bacterial small subunit ribosomal RNA
Source: RNAcentral
GACGAAGGAUGCAGGCGUUAUCCGGAUUCAUUGGGUUUAAAGGGUGCGUAGGCGGGCAGGUAAGUCAGUGGUGAAAUCUCCGGGCUUAACCCGGAAACUGCCAUUGAUACUAUUUGUCUUGAAUACUGUGGAGGUCAGCGGAAUAUGUCAUGUAGCGGUGAAAUGCUUAGAUAUGACAUAGAACACCAAUUGCGAAGGCAGCUGGCUACACAAAUAUUGACACUGAGGCACGAAAGCGUGGGGAUCAAACAGG